RNAcentral lists this ribosomal RNA (826 nucleotides) under uncultured bacterium. RNAcentral describes it as "bacterial SSU rRNA". It matches the Rfam family "Bacterial small subunit ribosomal RNA", at positions 60 to 884 of the family's 1533-position model. The record is from RNAcentral.
AGUCGAGGGGCAGCACGGGUAGUAAUAUCUGGUGGCGACCGGCGCAAGGGUGCGUAACGCGUGAGCAACAUGCCCGUAUCAGGGGAAUAAACCAGGGAAACUUGGUCUAAUACCCCAUAGCAAUUGGAGGAGGCAUCUUUUUCAAUUUAAAGCUUUGGUGGAUACGGAUUGGCUCGCGUGACAUUAGCUAGAUGGUAAGGUAACGGCUUACCAUGGCAACGAUGUCUAGGGGUUCUGAGAGGAAGAUCCCCCACACUGGAACUGAGACACGGUCCAGACUCCUACGGGAGGCAGCAGUGAGGAAUAUUGGACAAUGGAUGGAAAUCUGAUCCAGCCAUGCCGCGUGCAGGAAGACGGCCCUAUGGGUUGUAAACUGCUUUUAUAUGGGAGCAAUAAGGUCUAUGCGUAGACUGAUGAGAGUACCAUAUGAAUAAGCAUCGGCUAACUCCGUGCCAGCAGCCGCGGUAAUACGGGGGAUGCAAGCGUUAUCCGGAUUUAUUGGGUUUAAAGGGUGCGUAGGCGGUUUGAUAAGUCAGCGGUGAAAUAUUUCAGCUUAACUGGAAGGGUGCCGUUGAUACUGUCAGGCUUGAAUAUGGUUGCUGUGGGUGGAAUGUGUGGUGUAGCGGUGAAAUGCUUAGAGAUCACACAGAAUAUCGAUUGCGAAGGCAGCUCACAAAGCCAUUAUUGACGCUGAUGCACGAAAGUGUGGGGAUCAAACAGGAUUAGAUACCCUGGUAGUCCACACCGUAAACGAUGAUAACUCGCUGUCGGCGAUAUACAGUCGGUAGCCAAGCGAAAGCGAUAAGUUAUCCACCUGGGGAGUACG